CAUUGUCAAGAAAGAGGCCUCUUCAGACCAUGUUUCAACUCUCAACCAGCCUCCCCCUAAAAACCAGACAGCACAAACCACCCAAGAAGCUGGAAGAACCCAGGAGACUAAAAAAAUUUGCUGGAUGUUCCCAAAUACAAUCCUGUCACGGCCUCGAAGACUCUCUGGGACCCCCUGAGCGGCCAUGGUGGCCAUGUAACCCUGCAGGAAGGUUCGGUUCACUCAAGACAUACCUGGGAAGAGAACAGGAGUGCACAAUGUUGAUCUAGACACUUCCUCUCUACUGGACUAGAAGCCCCUUCAUUACCACAGCCAACCUCAGAGGAAAUUCCAAGUAUCAAAUACA
Hyaena hyaena (striped hyena) is the source of this 346-nucleotide long non-coding RNA. RefSeq lists it as uncharacterized. The transcript has 3 exons. The record is from RefSeq and is a predicted model, not a curated record. Lineage: Eukaryota; Metazoa; Chordata; Mammalia; Carnivora; Hyaenidae.